RNAcentral lists this ribosomal RNA (305 nucleotides) under uncultured bacterium. RNAcentral's name for it is "bacterial SSU rRNA". It matches the Rfam family "Bacterial small subunit ribosomal RNA", at positions 338 to 657 of the family's 1533-position model. The record is from RNAcentral.
CCUACGGGAGGCAGCAGUCGGGAAUAUUGCGCAAUGGAGGAAACUCUGACGCAGUGACGCCGCGUGCAGGAAGAAGGUUUUCGGAUUGUAAACUGCUUUAGACAGGGAAGAAAGAAAUGACGGUACCUGUAGAAUAAGCUCCGGCUAACUACGUGCCAGCAGCCGCGGUAAUACGUAGGGAGCGAGCGUUGUCCGGAUUUACUGGGUGUAAAGGGUGCGUAGGCGGCCCUGCAAGUCAGAAGUGAAAUCCAUGGGCUUAACCCGUGAACUGCUUUUGAAACUGCAGGACUUGAGUGGAGUAGAGG